UUUCCGUAGGUGAACCUGCGGAAGGAUCAUUCAUAAUAAGUGUUUUAUGGCACUUUUUUAAAUCCAUAACCACCUUGUGUGCAAUGUCAGGGUUGACUUUUCUCUCGAGAGGAUCAACCCCAAACAUCAACUAUAUCUCAACUCUUUGUCUGAAAAAUAUUAUGAAUAAAACAAUUCAAAAUACAACUUUCAACAACGGAUCUCUUGGCUCUC
This 213-nucleotide unclassified non-coding RNA is filed under the name plant metagenome. RNAcentral's name for it is "partial contains small subunit ribosomal RNA, internal transcribed spacer 1, and 5.8S ribosomal RNA". The record is from RNAcentral.